Molecule: ribosomal RNA, 518 nt
Filed under: uncultured Geobacillus sp.
Lineage: Bacteria; Bacillati; Bacillota; Bacilli; Caryophanales; Anoxybacillaceae
Description: bacterial SSU rRNA
Rfam family: Bacterial small subunit ribosomal RNA
Source: RNAcentral
GUAGUUGACUCGCGGCUCGAGACGACGCUGGCGGCGUGCCUAAUACAUGCAAGUCGAGCGGACCGAACGAGAGCUUGCUCUUGUUUGGCCAGCGGCGGACGGGUGAGUAACACGUGGGCAACCUGCCCGCAAGACCGGGAUAACUCCGGGAAACCGGAGCUAAUACCGGAUAACACCAAAGACCGCAUGGUCUUUGGUUGAAAGGCGGCUUCGGCUGUCACUUGCGGAUGGGCCCGCGGCGCAUUAGCUAGUUGGUGAGGUAACGGCUCACCAAGGCGACGAUGCGUAGCCGGCCUGAGAGGGUGACCGGCCACACUGGGACUGAGACACGGCCCAGACUCCUACGGGAGGCAGCAGUAGGGAAUCUUCCGCAAUGGACGAAAGUCUGACGGAGCGACGCCGCGUGAGCGAAGAGGGCCUUCGGGUCGUAAAGCUCUGUUGUGAGGGACGAAGGAGCGCCGUUUGAAUAAGGCGGCGCGGUGACGGUACCUCACGAGAAAGCCCCGGCUAACUACGUG